RNAcentral lists this non-coding RNA (114 nucleotides) under Palpitomonas bilix. The record is from RNAcentral.
CUCAUGGAGCAGGAGCAGGAGCAGGAGCAGGAGCGGAGGAAUACAUGGGGGGGAGGCGACCUGUUGUGUCCUCCCGGCACCUGUUUCUGUCAGAACGGAUAUUCUCGUUGUCUG